Molecule: ribosomal RNA, 253 nt
Filed under: uncultured bacterium
Lineage: Bacteria
Description: partial 16S ribosomal RNA
Rfam family: Bacterial small subunit ribosomal RNA
Source: RNAcentral
UACGGAGGGUGCAAGCGUUAUCCGGAUUCACUGGGUUUAAAGGGUGCGUAGGCGGAUAGGUAAGUCAGGGGUGAAAUCUCCGAGCUUAACUCGGAAACUGCCGUUGAUACUAUCUGUCUUGAAUACUGUGGAGGUAAGCGGAAUAUGUCAUGUAGCGGUGAAAUGCCUAGAUAUGACAUAGAACACCUAUUGCGAAGGCGACUUCCUGGCCUGUUCUUGACGCUGAGGCGCGAAAGCUAGGGGAGCAAACGGG